Molecule: long non-coding RNA, 13532 nt
Filed under: Homo sapiens (human)
Lineage: Eukaryota; Metazoa; Chordata; Mammalia; Primates; Hominidae
Description: HSALNT0396608
Source: RNAcentral
AAAAUUUAUAAAUGGACAUAACCUUAUACACAAGAUUUAAAAUAACCCCUGGGCACAUGUGGGCCCAACCCAGAGAUAGCCCUUCCUGAAAUGACUGGAGCCAAGAGCCUGUCACGCUCGCGGUAUUCAGUGCAAGGUCUGAUCGCGUCUUCUGUCACUCAAGGCCUGAGGGCGCGGAGCCUGGAGCUCUAUCCAUUAAGGGCGCUGGGGUGGGAACUGUCCAAUCAGGUUCACAGUCAGAGAGGAAGGGGUGGCUCCCGGUACCUGGCGGGGCCUUUGUCUCUUGCUCCAGCCAGAGCUCGAGGUUAGCUCUUCACUGCCCUGUGUCUUCUUUCCAAGGGUCUCGGUGAUUCGGCCACAGCCUCAGCCUCCAUCACGCGGUGAACUGAUGGUGCUGGAAGAUUCAUAGACUCCAGGACAUUCCUGAAGCCGAGAAAAGGUUAAGUAGGGUCUGGCCUGGAAUACUCUCCUAGAUGAAGAUAGCCCAACCAUGAGCCACCUUCGAAGCAGAUGAGAUGAAAUUAAAGCUCUUCAACUCCUAAAGGCCCAGAGACUAUCACAAAAGAGGUCAGAAAUCCUGAAGGUCACUUUCUGACAAACUCAGGAACCCCAGGUUUAUCUUGGAGCCUCAAGAGGAGAUAAAUUCACCCAACUCAGAGUGAGGCUGGCUGGGGGAGCCUGGGCUCCUCUGUCCUCCCCGAGGUGGCAGUGGCUGAUGUCUGCUCAGGUGUGAGGGGGUGCUGCCAUCCUCUGGGCCUGAGGCUGCCUGGCCCAGCCCCUCCUAACUCCCUGGACUCUUCCACGGUGUCUUCAGGCCCCUACACCAUCCUUUGUGUAAGGGGAGGUGGCAGCAUAGAGAUGAUGGGGGAACUGCCCCAUGUGCCAAGGAAAGCUCACCCAUCUGUGCGAAAUGCUCUGGUUGACAUUGGGUUUUUGCGCACCAAACUGGGCCAUGACCAAGGUUUAUAACCAAGGUGUCUCCGGGCAUGGGCACUUUGGCUCUUGUAGAAACCACCCCACUGGCAGGAGACGGCGGUAGCUGUGGUCAUUGAAAACAAGCUCCUGCUGAUAAAUCUCAGACACCAGACACAGAAGAACCUGGAGACCCUGCCAGAGAGCUUGAGGCAAAUGGAUGGACUGUUGGAGCAGCUGAGGGUGAAGCAGCACAAACUCCUCAAAGUUGAAUAGCAAAGCAGCCACCAGAGAUGGACAAGAAAAAUGAACAAAGAAAAUUAGCAGAAAUCAAAGGCAGAUGCUAAAGCAGUGCAAAAUCAUUCAUUCAAUGAUAGAAAUGAAAUUGAUGAAGGAGUCUGGAAAAUGAAUGACAGAAGAGAAUUAAACAGCAGUGACCAUAGUAAGGUCCUGACGAUUCUGGUCCACUGAAUCCCAUCAUCCCUAAGACAGUAAAUAUCAUCACAGUCACCACCAGCAAGUUACCACCACAGCAUUUCCUGUUUGUUCCAAAAUGAAUAAAGAUGAUUCUCAUCACAAGGGCAAAUACAAAGUAGUUUAGUAUGUUUUUAACUAAACUAAAGGUGUUUGGUUUACUUUUUCUAAGUUCUCAUAAUUCUGAAAAUGCAGUUGACACUUGUGUGGCUCAUGAUGUUUUUAAUAGUCUAAUGCUACUUGAAUUGUUCAAAAACCACUGUAUUUUAAAUUAAGAUGAAUAAACGGUCCUUUGAAAACUGGCACAAGGCAAGGAUGCCCUCUGUCACCACUCCUAUUCAACACAGUAUUGGAAGUUCUGGCCAGGGCAAUCAGGCAAGGGAAAGCAAUACAGCGUAUCAAAAUAGGAAGAGAGGAAGUCAAAUUGUCUCUGUUUGCAGAUGACAUGAUUGCAUAUUUAGAAAACCCCAUCUUCUCAGCCCAAAACCUCCUUAAGCUGAUAAGCAACUUCAGCAGUCUCAGAAUACAAAAUCAAUGUGCAAAAAAUCACAAGCAUUCCUAUACAUUAAUAACAGACAAACAGAGAGCCAAAUCAUGAGUGAACUCCCACUCACAAUUGCUAGUAAGAGAAUAAAAUACCUAGGAAAAUACAGCUUACAAGGGACAUGAAGGACCUCUUCAAGGAGAACUACAAACCACUGCUCAAGGAAAUGAGAAGAGACAAACAAAUGGGAAAGCAUUCCAUGCUCAUGGAUAGGAAGAAUCAAUAUCGUGAAAAUGGCCAUAGUGCCCAAAGUAAUUUUAUAGAUUCAAUGCUAUCCUCAUUAAGCUACCAUUGAUUUUCUUCACAGAAUUGGAAAAAACUACUUUAAACUUCAUAUGGAACCAAAAAAGAGCCUGCACAACCAAGACAAUACUGGGCAAGAAGAACAAAGCUGGAAACAUCAGGCUACCUGGCUUCAAACUAUACUACAAGGCUACAGGAACCAAAACAGCAUGGUACUGGUACCAAACAGAUAUGUAGACCAGUGGAACAGAACAGGGCCUCAGAAAUUGAUAUCACUCUGUCACCAUCAAAAAAUACUUAUUUAGUGUCAAAUCCUACUGUGAAAUAGCAGAACUGUGGGAUUUGUAAAGUGGAAAUGCAGAAUUCAAAACAGAGAUAUAUACCAAUGGAACAGAGCAGAGGCCUCAGAAAUACCACCACACGGCUACAACAAUCUGAUCUUUGACAAACCUGACACACACAAGCAAUGAGAAAAAGAUUCCCUAUUUAAUAAAUGGUGUUGGGAAAACUGGCUAGCCAUAUGUAGAAAAUUGAAACUGGACCCCUUUCUUACCCGUUUUACAAAAAUCAACUCAAGAUGUAUCAAAGACUUAAAUGUAAGACCUAAGACCAUAAAAAUCCUAGAAGAAAACCUGGGCAGUACCAUUCAGGACAUAGGCAUGGGCAAAGCCUUCAUGUCCAAAACACCAAAAGCAGUGGCAACAAAAGCCAAAAUUGACAAAUGGGAUCUAAUUAAAUUAAAUAGCUUCUGCACAGCAAAAGAAACUCAUCAGAGUGAACAGGCAACUACAGAAUGGGAGAAAAUUCUUGCAAUCUAUCCAUCUGACAAAAGGCUAAUAUCUAGAAUCUACAAAGAAUUUAAACAGUUUACAAGAAACAAACAAACUGCCCCAUCAAAAAAUGGGCAAAGAUAUGGACAGACACUUCUCAAAAGAAAACAUUUAUGCAGCCAACAGACACAUGAAAAAAUGCUCAUCACUGGUCAUUAGAGAAAUGCAAAUCAAAACCACAAUGAGAUACCAUGUCACACCCGUUAGAAUGGCAAUCAUUAAAAAGUCAGGAAACAACAGUGCUGGAGUGGAUAUGGAGAAAUAGGAACACUUUUACACUGUUGGGAGUGUAAAUUAGUUCAACCAUUGUGGAAAACAGUGUGGCAAUUCCUCAAGGAUCUAGAACUAGAAAUAACAUUUGACCAAUUCCAUUACUGAGUAUAUACCUAAAGGAUUAUAAAUCAUUCUAUGAUAAAGACACAUGCACACGUCUGUUUAUUGUGGCACUAUUCACAAUAGCAAAGACUUGAAACCAACCCAAAUGUCCAUCAAUGAUAGACUGGGUAAAGAAAAUGUGGCACAUAUACACUGUGGAAUACUGUGCAGGUGUAAAAAAGGAUGAGUUCAUGUCCUUUGCAGGGACAUGGAUGAAGCUGGAAACCAUCAUUCUCAGCAAACUAGCACAAGAUCAGAAAACCAAACGCUGCAUGUUCUCACUCAUAAGUGGGAGUUGAACAGUGAGAACACAUGGACACAGGGAGGUGAACAUCACACACUGGGGCCUGUCAGGUGCUGGGGGGCUAAGGGAGGGAUAACAGGAAAAAUACCUAAUGUAGGUGACGGGUUGAUGGUUGCAGCAAACCACCAUGGCACAUGUGUACACGUAUGUAAUAAAACUGAUGUUCUUCACAUGUAACCCAGAACUUAAAGUAUAAUAAUAAAAAGAAGAAUAAAUAUUUGUUUUAUAUAUUUAAAGCUUAGAAUCACAAAUAAUGCUUCUGUUUAUGAUUUGAAAACUUCAAAGUUUGGUUUUCCUUCUGUACAUACACAAAACAUUGUAUUGUGCUGAAAUAUUUGUUUUUUAAAGUGGCAGUCAUAGUUCCUGUCUGUCCGGAUAUAUAUAUGUAUAUAUGUUAAGCAUAACAUAAGAAAGAAAUUUCAUUAGCUGGGCAUGAUGGCUCACUCCUGUAAUCCCAGAACCUUGGGAGGCUGAGGUGGGUGGAUUGCCUGAGGUCAGGAGUUUGAGACCAGCCUGGCCAACAUAGUGAAACCUCGUCUCUACUAAAAAUACAAAAAAUUAGGUGGGCGUGGUGGCAGGCACCUGUAAUCCCAGCUACUAGGGAGGCUGAGGCAAGAGAACGGCUUGAACCUGGGAGUCAGAGGUUGACGUGAGCCGAGAUCACACCAUUGCACUCCAGCCUGGUGACAGAGUGAGACUCUGUCUGAAAAAAAAAAAAAAAGAAAAAUUUUAUUUUGUUUUCGGUAAUCUAAGAUUGUUGUACACAAAAACUUUACAGAUUAUGGUAGGGUUUAGCAAACUGUGUAUAUAACGUAACAUUAAUAUCGCUAUUUUCUGAUGUCUAACUUUUAGGAAAGAUUUUUUGUUUACAAAUGUCUCCACAAAUUCUGGCUUAUUUUAUAAAAAUAGCAGAAUACUAAAGAAAUGGGUGGUUUGCCACACUACAUGAAUUCACACACUACUGGCAUUCAAUUAAAAUAGCAAAUAUUUUCCUCAAAAUUUAGACAGAUGAAAUAAUUUCUUGAUUUUUGAGUGCAGUGACAGACAUUCACAAAUAUUUCAGAAAUCAAAGCUGUAUUAGGUUUUACUUAGUAGUAAUAUGUAUAUAAGAUCAAGGAUCUGUUCAGAAUAGAUAUUUUUCAUCAAUAAUUUGGUGCUUUCAAAUACCCAGAAGUCUUGUUUUAAUCAGAUGAAGUCUGAGGAUAGUUUAGUAAUUUUACUUUUUGUAUGAUGUGUUCACAAUUUUCUAAUUUAACCUAGUAUUGAUUGAUGAUGGGUAAACCAACUUUUUUUUUUAAUCUCGUAGGUUUAUUAUGUUGUUGAAGAUGUUUUUAGUUAGAAUUCUGUCUUUCAAAAUUGUUUACAGAGAUUUAGGUCUAGUUGAAUUUGCUCAACCUGUUAAUCAGUGUCAGCUGCCAGAUUCUAAUUCAUUUUUAGUGUGCCUGUACUUUUCUUUCUCUAAACUAAAUUUAUAUUCUCUAUAUUACUUGUUCAAAUGUGAUAUAAUACAGCUCACACAUUUAAAACAAAACCAUGAGGACAAAUUAAUUCUGGCUUAGUAUAAAGAAGCUGUUACCAAAUUAGUGUUACAUAUGCAGAUGGAUGCAGCUCAACAAAAUUUUACACAAAAAAAAUUGAAUUGAACUACACGUGUUGCCAUGACUUAGCCUCUAAUGAUCUCGUGAAUAAAGACAAAUUUCAACACAUUUAUUCAUUUGCUUUCAUUAUGUCUAAUGGUAGUGUGUCAAAAAUUCUCAUGCUACUGUCUGAGAAAACACGUUCUACUUUUACUUAAGAAAUCAACUGAAUGGCAUUUUUAUAACCUUGCACCACAUAAGGAAAAACUGCAAUGUAGUCUGCGUGGAAAAGGAUAAUCCAGAAUGUCACUUUCAAUAUUUAAGUAUUUAACCUUUUGGUUGAAAAAUGUAGUAAAAUACGGAUGCCAAGCCGAGGCUGGACUGUGCUGCCGCCAUCUCGGCUCACUGCAACAUCCCUGCCUGAUUCUCCUGCCUCAGCCUGCCGAGUGCCUGGGAUUGCAGGCGCAUGCCGCCACGCCUGACUGGUUUUUGUAUUUUUUGGUGGAGACGGGGUUUCGCCAUGUUGGCCAGGCUGGUCUCCAGCUCCUGACCGCGAGUGAUCUGCCUGCCCGGGCGUCCCGAGGUGCCGGGAUUGCAGACGGAGUCUCGCUCACUCAGUGCUCAAUCUUGCCCAGGCUGGAGUGCAGUGGCGUGAUCUCAGCUCGCUACAACCUCCACCUCCCAGCCACCUGCCUUGGCCUCCCAAAAUGCCCAGAUUGCAGCCUCUGCCCGGCUGCCACCCUGUCUGGGAAGUGAGGAGCGUCUUUGCCUGGCCGUCCAUCAUCUGGGAUGUGAGGAGCCCCUCUGCCCGGCUGCCCAGUCUGGGAAGUGAGGAGCGCCUCUUCCCGGCCGCCAUCCCAUCUAGGAAGUGAGGAGCGUCUCUGCCCAGCCACCCAUCGUCUGAGAUGUGGGGAGCGCCUCUGCCCCGCUGCCCCGUCUGGGAUGUGAGGAGCGCCUCUGCCCGGCCACAACCCCGUCUGGGAUCUGAGGAGUGUCUGUCUCUGCCCGACCGCCACCCCGUCUGGGAGGUGAGGAGCGUCUCUGCCUGGCCGCCCCGUCUGAGAAGUGAGGAGCCCCUCCGCCCGGCAGCCGCCCCGCCUGGGAAGUGAGGAGCGUCUCCGCCCGGCAGCCGCCCCGUCCGGGAGGUGGGGGGCAGCCCCCGCCCAGCCAUCCGCCCCGUCCAGGAGGGAGGUGGGGGGGUGCCUCUGCCCGGCCACCCCGUCUGGGAAGUGAGGAGCCCCUCUGCCCGGCCGCCACCCCGUCUAGGAGGUGUACCCAACAGCUCAUUGAGAACGGGCCAUGAUGACAAUGGCGGUUUUGUCGAAUAGAAAAGGGGGAAAUGUGGGGAAGGAAAGAGAGAUCAGAUUGUUGCUGUGUCUGUGUAGAAAGAAGUAGACAUGGGAGACUCCAUUUUGUUCGGUACUAAGAAAAAUUUUUCUGCCUUGGGAUGCUGUUAAUCUAUAACCUUACCCCCCACCCCCCACCCCGUGCUCUCUGAAACAUGUGCUGUGUCCACUCAGGGUUAAAUGGAUUAAGGGCGGUGCAAGAUGUGCUUUGUGAAACAGAUGCUUGAAGGCAGCAUACUUGUUAAGAGUCAUCACCACUCCCUAAUCUCAAGUACCCAGGGACACAAACACUGUGGAAGGCCGCAGGGUCCCCUGCCUAGGAAAACCACAGACCCUUGUUCACAUGUUUAUCUGCUGACCUUCCCUCCACUGCUGUCCUAUGACCCUGCCAAAUCCCCGUCUCUGAGAAACACCCAAGAAUGAUCAAUAAAUACUAAAAAAAAAAAAAAAAAAAAGUAGUAAAAUAGAGCUCUUGGUAAGUUUUGUGUAGCUUAACAUCAGCAUAAAGUAGGAAAAAAUAUCUUUAAAAAUGUAAACGGACAAAAACCUACACCAAAAAAACAAACAUACACCAAUGCAUACAUAUUGACUGAAGCUCCAGGGAUGUAAAAUAAUUUCUCCUGGGUACACAGCUAGUGACCCAAAUCAAGCUCAAAUAUGUUUGAUUUUAAAAUUGUCAUUUUCUCACUUUUGACAAUAUUGACAUAACAGGUAAAUCUUUGUCUCAGAGUUGAUAGUUGAAAAUAAACUAAGAUAAGUAUUAUUGAAGCUGGCUAGCUAGCCAAGAAGGUCACCAUGUCCUCAGGAUGCAGCAGCCAUGGCGAUUUCCUGGUGAUAGCAUAUUAUCAACACAAUAAACCCCAACAUUUGCAUUGCGUUUCAGCUCAUUCAAGCAAAGCUCUCUAGUAGGGAUAUUCCCCCAUAAAGAGCAUGCACAUUUUGAUUUUACUUGUCCUCUGACCUUUUACUCAUCGUAAUACUAAAAAACACACACGUGAGUGGAGUUUUUGCUAAUGAGAUGCUAAUUAGAUAUGUGACAUAUGCUAAUGAGAUAUGUGACAUAUAAACAAGCAUGUACAGCCACUGUGUAUGUGCACCAAGAGGACCACCCAGAACAUGCUUACUAAUAACACCACUUUCUAACUCUUUGUAAAUAAUUAUGUAAGACUCCGAUAAAUGGAGUCUCUCUAUUUCCAGUCUUUGCUGUCUCAUUCUUAUAAGCAGCCCAUCCUGAAUUGCUUUUCUCUCAGGGGUGUUUUGCACCGCACUUUUAAAAUAGUGUUUCUACUUUGCGAUAAAUCUAUCUAUGCUGCAUCCUCAUUUUUUUGCGUCUCGUUUAAAUUUUUGAAACUAAGAACCGAGGUCUCACAACAGCCUUCAGGACUAUUGUGCUUUGUUUUGUUUUCUUAACAUUAUUUUAUGUGAUAUUUCAUAUUUACAUUUUCAACAUAGCCAAAACUGCUAAAUUAAAAACUUAAAUGAUCAUGCUUUUAAAGUGAUUUGUCUUAAAAGCAUGUAUGUAUAUUUUUCAAGUUUCAGCUUUAUGUAUUCAAAUUUUUUAAAAAUUCUGACACAUAUAUCUAUCAAAUUUAAUAUUUUAAAUAAUUUGAAUUCACUUCCAAAAUGAUUUAUAUUCAUUGUUAUAUUUCAUUUUGACCAAAUUUGGCUUUCCAAGCUAAAGAAAUGCUCUGUAGUAAAAUAAAGGCUCAUGUUUUUAUCAAUAAUAUUUUAUGUCUGAGGACUUAAGCAUCAAGGACAGAAAUCUGGAUGAUGUUGAGUGAAUAUUUAAAUUGAUAAAGUAGAAAUUAUCAGAAUCAAAUAAGGGGUGGAUCCAGAAACAUAGUACUUAAUAAAACCAUUCAGGGUAUGUUUGACAAACAAGAAGAUUGCAUAGGAUCUGCACUGCACUACUAAUGUAAAGCGUUCUCUGUAACUUUAUUCUCCACGUACUCAUACACAAAAUGAAUAAGAUUAACUCCUUUUCCUGGAAGGCAGUGAUUCCUCUUUUAUUCUGUUACAUCUGUUCCACAUUGCUGUGAUAAUGCUGUUGAAGUGCACCCCCUUACACCAGAAGAUCACCUGUGUGAAUGUGAAUAGACUGACACUGGAGAGGACCAGCUCAGCACAGUCACUUGAACUGCCCCUUUGCAUUUCAGGCAGGUAAAAUGCCUUUGAAGAGUGAAAAUAAAGUUACUGCUGAUUAAGCAGAGAGUUUGACUUGCUGAUCAAUUUGAUCAGAAGCCUCUCAAUGAGAUAAUUACUGCAUUUAUUUAUUUCAAGAAAAGUAAAAGCCAAAGCCCAGAAUGUGGCAAGGCAAGAGUUGAAAAGAAAAGAACAAGUUUUUCUUUGCCUAGCAAGCUCACUUCAAGGACAGUUAUAAGAUAAUGCUGUUUGAGAAGUUGAAACCAAAGAAAUAGGCUCCAGACACUCCCCUCCGAAGCAAGGGUGAAGGAAACAAAGAAAAACAAACGUCUGUAUUUAGCCAGUUCUUGUUUUUUCUUUCAAUGCAGCUACAAGGCCACCAGCUAUUAAAGGCCACAAGUUAUGCCAAGAAUUCAGUUAUGCUAUAAAUUACAUAAACUGGUCAUUAUAUAAUUAACUGCCUUUGUUUUGCUUCUGUAAGUUUACUUAUUAAAAUCUCACUCAGUCUUUGUUCAAGGCUCAGCUUUUUGGAUGUGAAUUCACUGAGCCAGAGCAUACCUUAAAAUAAAUAUCCUCCUUUAUUGACUCAUACUGGUCUCUCUAGUCCUCUGUGUCCCACAUUUCUUGGCGAGCCAGCCAGGAGCAGAGACUGUCUCCUUUGCCUUGAAAUCGGGGCUGGAGCCCCGGAUUCAAGGGAAAAUCGGGGCUGGAGCCUUGAUUCAAGGGAAACCUGGGACCCAGGCACCGCCGGGAGAACUUCAGCCCGGAGGGGAAAUCAGCUCUCCCAUGACCCGGCAUCCCUACCCAGCAGUGCAACGGAGCCUGAGAAGGGCUACAGGAUGAUUCCAGAAAUAGCGCACUUUAGGAACCACGUUGGCUAAAACCAGCAGCCCAAGACAAGUGGGCCAGCCAGCAGGACCCAGAUCAUCCAACCCGGCUGAUCCUGAGACGAGAGCAAGCUGCUGCUAAAGACAACUGCCCUGCUCUGGUCAUUCUGGAAGCUGACCAGUCUAUGAAUGGCGGAAGCAUAAGAAGACAACAAGCCCUACUCUAGUCACACACAGGAAUCUGACUAGUCUAUGCACAGCCAAAGCUUAAGAACUUGUCAAGCAAGUAAAUGUGGUUAAAAAUCCUAAAAGUAGUAGUUUUCCUUGUAAUACUGUUUUCCUAUUGUUCUGUCACUGUGCUCAGUCUCCUCCCCCAAAUAAAGACCUCUUCCGUCCUUGCUGAAUAUAAAUAAGCUGUAUAUUGUUUUGCUGUUGUUACCCCCUUAACCAUGCUAGAAGAAGCACCUAUAGAAGGGUGUCCCCACUGUACACAUACUACCUGGUCAGGGACUGGUAUAACUAAAACUCUAUUGUACCAUAGUUAUAAGUGUACAGGGACUCACUUAGGAACUUGUACUUAUAAUCAGACUACCUGCUCAAUUUGUGGCCCAGAAAAUAACAAACCUUAUGUAUUCUCUGACUCUAAAUUUUCGCCUGGUGAAUGGUGUAAGAUUCGUGCAAUGUCAAAGGAAAAUUUCCUCUUAAACCAAACCAAGGUCCCUCCCUUUUACCAAGGGCCUGUUUCUCUGUACUUGGAUGCCUAUCAGGCAGCAUACUAGACUCACCCGUCUGUGGUAACUUACCCUUAAAUACUAUAGAAAUAACUACAAAUAUAUAUGCAUGCCAAGAGUAACUCCUCCUUGUUCCGCUGGGAUCCCAAAAAAGGAUUGUUGGUACUGCAUAUCAUGGCACCUUAGCAUACAACAGAGGCCAAUUAUGCUUACCAAAAUGCCAGUAAAACCAGAUUGCAAAAUAAAAACCUGUAAUCCUGUAAACUUCACCAUUCUAAAGUCAGACUUACCCAUGUGGACUACAGGUUACUCUUACAUGUCUACAUAAAUACAUACCCAGCAACCUAACUAUAUGUUAUCAAAAAAGAAACCUGGACCUGUCUGGCUCAGCAACAAUCCGAAGUCUUUAAAUCAUUCUAUAAGCAUGUAAACUAGAAGUUACCAGAGUCUCUUCCUUUAGCUGAGAACCUGUUUGCUCAGCUGGCUCAAAACAUUGCUGGCAGCCUAGGCAUUUCUUCAUGUUAUGUUUACAGAGGAACAUGGGAGACCAGUGGCCUUGAAAAGCAAAAACGUUAAUGCCACAAGAUAAUUUUACUUUAACUGACAAUUCCCCUGAACCAAUGCCUGUAAGUUCAAGUCUCUGGCUCUGAAAAACUUCUGUCAUUGGAAGAUACUGUGUUGCUCGCUGGGGAAAGGCUUUUACAAACCCAGUAAGAGAACUAACCUGCUUAGAACAGCAAUAUUAUAAUGAAACACUAAGAAAAACUUUGUGGCGGGGCAGAAAUGACUCCAAAUCACCUCAUCCAAAUCCGUUCUCCUGUUUCUGUUCUCUAAAUCACACCUGGUAUCAGCUUGAAGCUCCAAAUACCUGACAAGCACCCUCUGGUCUUGAUUGGAUCUGUGGGCCAUGGGCCUACCAACAGUUACAAGGAAAAUAGAUAGGGGCUUGUAUAUUCAAGACAAUUAAGCCAUAUUUCUUUUUACUCCCACUGCAACAAGGAAAAACCUUAGGGUAUCCUGUCUAUGAUGAAAUUAAAAGAAGAAACAAAAGAAAUAUAAACAUAAAAAAAGACAUACAAAUAGGAGAUUGGGGGCCAGGCAUGGUGGGUCAUGCCUGUAAUCCCAGCACUUUGGGAGGCUGAGGCAGGUGGAUCACGAGGUCAGCAGAUUGAGACUAUGCUGGCUAACAUGGUGAAACCCCGUCUCUACUAAAAAUACAAAAAGGUUAACCAGGCAUGGUGAUGGGCACCUGUGGUCCCAGCUACUCGGGAGGCUGAGGCAAGAGAAUGGCGUGAACCCAGGAGGUGGAGCUUUCAGUGAGCCAAGUGGCACUGCACUCCAACCUAGGUGACAGAGCGAGACUCUGUCUCAAAAAAAAAAAAAAAGGAGAUUUGAAGGAUACAGAUUGGCCACUGAAAGAAGGAUUCAAUAAUGUGGGCCAGCUACCUAGGCACAAAAUGGGUCAUGGGGGUACUGCACCUCAAUUUACAUGCUUAACUGCAUCAUAAGGUUGCAGGCAGUCCUUGAAAUUAUCACUAAUGAAACAACAAAUGCAUUAGACUUCUUUGCCCAGCAGCCCACAAAAAUGAGAAAGGCCGUUUAUCAAAAUAGCCUGGCUUUAGACUAUCUCCUAGCCCAGGAAGAAGGAAUAUGUGAAAAGUUUAAUCUAACUAAUUGCUGCUUAAAAAUUGAUAACAAUGAGAAAGCUUUGUAGAAAUAACUGCAAGAAUGAAAAAAUUAGCCCAUAUUUCAGUCCAGACCUGGAAAGGGUGGACUCCUGAUUCCCUCUUUGGAGGCUGGUUUUCCUCCUUUGAUGGAUUCAAAACCUUAAAAGGACUAGUUCUAACCAUACUAGGAGGUUGUUUGAUACUUCCUUGCCUUUAAUCCUUCCUUAUUAGGAGCAUUCAAUCAACUAUAGAGACAAUUGUAGCUAGGCAAACUACCACUCACCUAAUGCUCUGCAUAAAUAUCAACCUGUUCCUAAAGAAGAAAACCUGCUGUCUCUUAAUGAAUCAAGUAAUAGUGAUGCUUUCUAUUAAAAUUUUGUUUAUAAAAAGCAUCAAAGGGGAGAAACUGAGGCAGAAAUUUAAAAUAAUAAGUACUGCAUUCAUUAACUCCAAGAAAAGUAAAAGCCAAAGCCCAGAAUGUGGCAAGGCAGGGGUUAAAAAGAAAAGUUUUCCUCUGCCUAGCAAUCUCACUUCAAGGAAAAUUAGAAGAUAACCUUGUUCAAGAAGGCAAAACCAAAGAAAUAGGCUCCAGACAGUCCCCUCCGAAGCAAGGGUGAAGGACACAAACAAACAAACAAAUGUCUAUAUUAGCCAGUUCUUUUUUCUUUCAACGCAGCUCCACGGCUACCAGCUAUGCCAAGCCACAAGUUAUGCCAAGUCAUCAGUUAUGCUAUAAAUUACGUGACCUGUCAUUAUAUAGUUAACUGCCUUUGUUUUGCUUCUGUAUGUUUGCUCAGUCUUUGAGCUCAGUCUUUGCUUUUUAAGUUUGGAUGUGAAUCCACUGAGCUGGUGCCUACCUUAAAAUAAAUAUGCUCCUGUAUUCACCGAUACUGGUCUCUCUAGUCCUCUGCAUCCUGCAACACUUAGAACUGGGAGAGAUGACACAAAGAUGGUGCUUGCAUGUUGGGUGGGAGAGGAAAUGAUUAUCAGGGACUAGAUCGUAACUGUUUCACUCAUCAAUGUUGACUUUCAUUGCUAUUUUGUCUCAAAUUACGUUAAUAAAGUAAUGGCUUUGGUCCAAGAAGUUUUCUUAAAACAUGUUGUCAAUCAGCCAUAAUAUUAACCAAAAAAUGCACAGAAAUGAAGGUAAACAGUCAUAAUUUACAUUUUAAAAUUAAAAUAUUUCUGGAAAUUUUUAAGGUUUCCUAGGUAGAGCAUUAUAUCAUCGUGAAGAUAAUUUAACUUCCUUUUUUUCUAUUUAGAUGCUUUUAAUUUCUUUAUUUUGUUGGAUAGCUCUGACUAGGACUUCUAGAAUUAUGUUGAAUAGGAGUGUUAGACUGGAUAUUCUUGUCUUAUUUUUAUUCUAACGUUCUGAUUUGCUUAUGAACUCAGAUUGCUCGUAUUUCAUGGAGGAUUUUUGUUUCAAUGUUUACCAAAAAUAUUGGCCUGCAGUUUCCUUUUUUUGUUGUGCCUUCACUAUAUUUUGGAAUUAAGAUAAUAUUGAUAUUAUGAGUUAGGGUGGAAUCCCACCUGGAUUUCUUGGAGUAUAUUCAGUAGUAG